AAUCUUCCACAAUGGGUGCAAACCUGAUGGAGCAAUGCCGCGUGAAUGAAGAAGGUCUUCGGAUCGUAAAGUUCUGUUAUUAGAGAAGUACAAGUCAAGGUGUAACUUUCUUGACUUUGACGGUACCUAACCAGAAAGUCACGGCUAACUACGUGCCAGCGGCCGCGGUAAUACGUAGGUGACAAGCGUGGUCUGGAAUUAUUGGGCGUAAAGGAAGCGGAGGAGGUUGGAAUAGUCUGAUGUGAAAGCCCACGGCUUAACCGUGGAAGGUCAGUGGAAAAUGUCCAACUUGAAUGCAGAAGAGGUAAGUGGAAUUCCAUGUGUAGCGGUGAAAUGCGUAGAUAUAUGGAGGAACACCAGUGGCGAAGGCGACUUACUGGUCUGUGAUUGACGCUGAGGCUCGAAAGCGUGGGUAGCGAACA
Molecule: ribosomal RNA, 422 nt
Filed under: uncultured bacterium
Lineage: Bacteria
Description: partial 16S ribosomal RNA
Rfam family: Bacterial small subunit ribosomal RNA
Source: RNAcentral